Molecule: ribosomal RNA, 1474 nt
Filed under: Vibrio neocaledonicus
Lineage: Bacteria; Pseudomonadati; Pseudomonadota; Gammaproteobacteria; Vibrionales; Vibrionaceae
Description: bacterial SSU rRNA
Rfam family: Bacterial small subunit ribosomal RNA
Source: RNAcentral
GGGGGGGCCUAACCAUGGCAAGUCGAGCGGAAACGAGUUAUCUGAACCUUCGGGGAACGAUAACGGCGUCGAGCGGCGGACGGGUGAGUAAUGCCUAGGAAAUUGCCCUGAUGUGGGGGAUAACCAUUGGAAACGAUGGCUAAUACCGCAUGAUGCCUACGGGCCAAAGAGGGGGACCUUCGGGCCUCUCGCGUCAGGAUAUGCCUAGGUGGGAUUAGCUAGUUGGUGAGGUAAGGGCUCACCAAGGCGACGAUCCCUAGCUGGUCUGAGAGGAUGAUCAGCCACACUGGAACUGAGACACGGUCCAGACUCCUACGGGAGGCAGCAGUGGGGAAUAUUGCACAAUGGGCGCAAGCCUGAUGCAGCCAUGCCGCGUGUGUGAAGAAGGCCUUCGGGUUGUAAAGCACUUUCAGUCGUGAGGAAGGUGGUGUAGUUAAUAGCUGCAUUAUUUGACGUUAGCGACAGAAGAAGCACCGGCUAACUCCGUGCCAGCAGCCGCGGUAAUACGGAGGGUGCGAGCGUUAAUCGGAAUUACUGGGCGUAAAGCGCAUGCAGGUGGUUUGUUAAGUCAGAUGUGAAAGCCCGGGGCUCAACCUCGGAAUAGCAUUUGAAACUGGCAGACUAGAGUACUGUAGAGGGGGGUAGAAUUUCAGGUGUAGCGGUGAAAUGCGUAGAGAUCUGAAGGAAUACCGGUGGCGAAGGCGGCCCCCUGGACAGAUACUGACACUCAGAUGCGAAAGCGUGGGGAGCAAACAGGAUUAGAUACCCUGGUAGUCCACGCCGUAAACGAUGUCUACUUGGAGGUUGUGGCCUUGAGCCGUGGCUUUCGGAGCUAACGCGUUAAGUAGACCGCCUGGGGAGUACGGUCGCAAGAUUAAAACUCAAAUGAAUUGACGGGGGCCCGCACAAGCGGUGGAGCAUGUGGUUUAAUUCGAUGCAACGCGAAGAACCUUACCUACUCUUGACAUCCAGAGAACUUUCCAGAGAUGGAUUGGUGCCUUCGGGAACUCUGAGACAGGUGCUGCAUGGCUGUCGUCAGCUCGUGUUGUGAAAUGUUGGGUUAAGUCCCGCAACGAGCGCAACCCUUAUCCUUGUUUGCCAGCGAGUAAUGUCGGGAACUCCAGGGAGACUGCCGGUGAUAAACCGGAGGAAGGUGGGGACGACGUCAAGUCAUCAUGGCCCUUACGAGUAGGGCUACACACGUGCUACAAUGGCGCAUACAGAGGGCGGCCAACUUGCGAAAGUGAGCGAAUCCCAAAAAGUGCGUCGUAGUCCGGAUUGGAGUCUGCAACUCGACUCCAUGAAGUCGGAAUCGCUAGUAAUCGUGGAUCAGAAUGCCACGGUGAAUACGUUCCCGGGCCUUGUACACACCGCCCGUCACACCAUGGGAGUGGGCUGCAAAAGAAGUAGGUAGUUUAACCUUCGGGGGGACGCUUACCACUUUGUGUUCAUAGGGAAAAGAAAAAAGAAAACA